This 253-nucleotide ribosomal RNA is filed under the name uncultured bacterium. RNAcentral's name for it is "partial 16S ribosomal RNA". It matches the Rfam family "Bacterial small subunit ribosomal RNA", at positions 524 to 776 of the family's 1533-position model. The record is from RNAcentral.
UACGUAGGGUGCGGGCGUUGUCCGGAAUUAUUGGGCGUAAAGAGCUCGUAGGCGGUUUGUUGCGUCGGCCGUGAAAACUUGGGGCUUAACCCCGAGCCUGCGGUCGAUACGGGCAGACUUGAGUUCGGCAGGGGAGACUGGAAUUCCUGGUGUAGCGGUGAAAUGCGCAGAUAUCAGGAGGAACACCGGUGGCGAAGGCGGGUCUCUGGGCCGAUACUGACGCUGAGGAGCGAAAGCGUGGGGAGCGAACAGG